This 522-nucleotide ribosomal RNA is filed under the name uncultured bacterium. RNAcentral's name for it is "bacterial SSU rRNA". It matches the Rfam family "Bacterial small subunit ribosomal RNA", at positions 374 to 887 of the family's 1533-position model. The record is from RNAcentral.
GGCGAAAGCCUGACCGAGCAACGCCGCGUGAGCGAUGAAGGCCUUCGGGUCGUAAAGCUCUGUUGUUAAGGAAGAACAAGUACGAGAGUAACUGCUCGUACCUUGACGGUACUUAACGAGAAAGCCACGGCUAACUACGUGCCAGCAGCCGCGGUAAUACGUAGGUGGCAAGCGUUAUCCGGAAUUAUUGGGCGUAAAGCGCGCGCAGGCGGCUUCUUAAGUCUGAUGUGAAAGCCCACGGCUCAACCGUGGAGGGUCAUUGGAAACUGGGAAACUUGAGUGCAGAAGAGGAAAGCGGAAUUCCACGUGUAGCGGUGAAAUGCGUAGAGAUGUGGAGGAACACCAGUGGCGAAGGCGGCUUUCUGGUCUGUAACUGACGCUGAGGCGCGAAAGCGUGGGGAGCAAACAGGAUUAGAUACCCUGGUAGUCCACGCCGUAAACGAUGAGUGCUAAGUGUUAGAGGGUUUCCGCCCUUUAGUGCUGAAGUUAACGCAUUAAGCACUCCGCCUGGGGAGUACGGUC